CCUACGGGAGGCAGCAGUGGGGAAUAUUGCACAAUGGGGGAAACCCUGAUGCAGCGACGCCGCGUGAGUGAAGAAGUAUUUCGGUAUGUAAAGCUCUAUCAGCAGAGAAGAAAAUGACGGUACCUGACUAAGAAGCCCCGGCUAACUACGUGCCAGCAGCCGCGGUAAU
Molecule: ribosomal RNA, 169 nt
Filed under: uncultured organism
Description: partial 16S ribosomal RNA
Rfam family: Bacterial small subunit ribosomal RNA
Source: RNAcentral